This 482-nucleotide ribosomal RNA is filed under the name uncultured bacterium. Its description in RNAcentral is "partial 16S ribosomal RNA". It matches the Rfam family "Bacterial small subunit ribosomal RNA", at positions 1 to 468 of the family's 1533-position model. The record is from RNAcentral.
GGCCGCGAAUUCGCCCUUAGGGUUUGAUUAUGGCUCAGAUUGAACGCUGGCGGCAGGCCUAACACAUGCAAGUCGAACGGUAACAGGAAGCAGCUUGCUGCUUUGCUGACGAGUGGCGGACGGGUGAGUAAUAUCUGGGAAACUGCCUGAUGGAGGGGGAUAACUACUGGAAACGGUGGCUAAUACCGCAUAACGUCGCAAGACCAAAGAGGGGGACCUUAGGGCCUCUUGCCAUCGGAUGUGCCCAGAUGGGAUUAGCUUGUUGGUGAGGUAACGGCUCACCAAGGCGACGAUCCCUAGCUGGUCUGAGAGGAUGACCAGCCACACUGGAACUGAGACACGGUCCAGACUCCUACGGGAGGCAGCAGUGGGGAAUAUUGCACAAUGGGCGCAAGCCUGAUGCAGCCAUGCCGCGUGUAUGAAGAAGGCCUUCGGGUUGUAAAGUACUUUCAGCGGGGAGGAAGGUGUUGCGGUUAAUAACC